UUAGAGUUUGAUCCUGGCUCAGGAUGAACGCUGGCGGCGUGCUUAACACAUGCAAGUCGAACGAAGCACCUUGAUUUGAUUCUUCGGAUGAAGAUCUUGGUGACUGAGUGGCGGACGGGUGAGUAACGCGUGGGUAACCUGCCCUGUACACACGGAUAACAUACCGAAAGGUAUGCUAAUACGAGAUAAUAUGCUUUUAUCGCAUGGUAGAAGUAUCAAAGCUCCGGCGGUACAGGAUGGACCCGCGUCUGAUUAGGUAGUUGGUGGGGUAACGGCCUACCAAGCCGACGAUCAGUAGCCGACCUGAGAGGGUGACCGGCCACAUUGGGACUGAGACACGGCCCAAACUCCUACGGGAGGCAGCAGUGGGGAAUAUUGCACAAUGGGGGGAAACCCUGAUGCAGCGACGCCGCGUGGAGGAAGAAGGCCUUCGGGUCGUAAAGCUCUGUCCUCAAGGAAGAUAAUGACGGUACUUGAGGAGGAAGCCCCGGCUAACUACGUGCCAGCAGCCGCGGUAAUACGUAGGGGGCUAGCGUUAUCCGGAAUUACUGGGCGUAAAGGGUGCGUAGGUGGUUUCUUAAGUCAGAGGUGAAAGGCUACGGCUCAACCGUAGUAAGCCUUUGAAACUGGGAAACUUGAGUGCAGGAGAGGAGAGUGGAAUUCCUAGUGUAGCGGUGAAAUGCGUAGAUAUUAGGAGGAACACCAGUUGCGAAGGCGGCUCUCUGGACUGUAACUGACACUGAGGCACGAAAGCGUGGGGAGCAAACAGGAUUAGAUACCCUGGUAGUCCACGCCGUAAA
Molecule: ribosomal RNA, 800 nt
Filed under: uncultured bacterium
Lineage: Bacteria
Description: bacterial SSU rRNA
Rfam family: Bacterial small subunit ribosomal RNA
Source: RNAcentral